This 443-nucleotide ribosomal RNA is filed under the name uncultured bacterium. RNAcentral describes it as "partial 16S ribosomal RNA". It matches the Rfam family "Bacterial small subunit ribosomal RNA", at positions 338 to 795 of the family's 1533-position model. The record is from RNAcentral.
CCUACGGGAGGCUGCAGUGGGGGAUAUUGGUCAAUGGGGGAAACCCUGAUCCAGCGACGCCGCGUGAGUGAAGAAGUAUUUCGGUAUGUAAAGCUCUAUCAGCAGGGAAGAAAGAAAUGACGGUACCUGAGUAAGAAGCCCCGGCUAACUACGGGCCAGCAGCCGCGGUAUUACGGAGGGGGCAAGCGUUAUCCGGAUUUACUGGGUGUAAAGGGAGCGUAGACGGUAAUGCAAGUCUGGAGUGAAAGGCGGGGGCUCACCCCCCGGACUGCACUGGAAACUGUUUAACUGGAGUGCAGGGGAGGCAGGCGGAAUUCCUAGUGUAGCGGUGAAAUGCGUAGAUAUUAGGAGGAACACCAGUGGCGAAGGCGGCCUGCUGGACUGUAACUGACGUUGAGGCUCGAAAGUGUGGGGAGCAAACAGGAUUAGAUACCCUAGUAGUC